CCCCUCUCAGGAUCGCUCCCGGAGAGUUUUCUGUGCUCUACCAGUCUUGGCUGUGGAAGGGAGAGUCAAGCAGAGGCCUAGCCCUUCCAUUCCUAGCUUGGGCAGUGGCUGGAGAGUGGAAGGCAGUCUGCUACAAGU
Ornithorhynchus anatinus (platypus) is the source of this 138-nucleotide small nucleolar RNA. NCBI's taxonomy places the organism in Eukaryota, Metazoa, Chordata, Mammalia, Monotremata, Ornithorhynchidae. The record is from RefSeq and is a predicted model, not a curated record.